RNAcentral lists this ribosomal RNA (432 nucleotides) under uncultured bacterium. Its description in RNAcentral is "bacterial SSU rRNA". It matches the Rfam family "Bacterial small subunit ribosomal RNA", at positions 352 to 782 of the family's 1533-position model. The record is from RNAcentral.
CAGUAGGGAAUAUUGGUCAAUGGAUGCAAGUCUGAACCAGCCAUGCCGCGUGCAGGAAGAAGGCCUUCUGGGUUGUAAACUGCUUUUGCCGGGGGAUAAAAUGCCCAUGCGUGGGCCAUUGAAGGUACCCGGUGAAUAAGCCACGGCUAACUACGUGCCAGCAGCCGCGGUAAUACGUAGGUGGCAAGCGUUGUCCGGAUUUAUUGGGUUUAAAGGGUGCGUAGGCGGCCUAUUAAGUCAGUGCUGAAAUAUCCCGGCUUAACCGGGAGGGUGGCAUUGAUACUGAUGGGCUUGAGUGGAGUCGAGGUAGGCGGAAUUGACGGUGUAGCGGUGAAAUGCUUAGAUAUCGUCAAGAACACCGAUAGUGUAGACAGCUUACUAGACUUCAACUGACGCUGAGGCACGAAAGUGUGGGGAUCAAACAGGAUUAGA